UAUCGAGGGAAUUCUAGCUCUUCAGCCCCAUGUGUGCCACCUAGACCUGGCUCUGCAAGAACCUCCCUAACAUCUGCAGACUGAAUCCAGUGGACUGGAAUUUGGACAUUCUUGCUAGGAAGGUUAAGAGACUGAUGGGACCAGAAAGAAUGAUGCUAGUUGAUAAAUCCGUUUUCAACAUGAUUCCUAGAUAGAAGCUAGAUUCAUCUCAUACCAGAGGAGUGGAAUUUGCACAUGACCAGAUUUUAAACCUCACUUCCCUAGUCUAGACCUCUUUGGUGCUAUAAAUCCUGGAGAUGACUGCAUUUUUCUUUUAUGCAUGAAGGUAGACGAUUCUUCACGUUAAAGAUGGGAGCUGAAUUUUCUCACCAGAAAUGGUUUUAUAGAAUCAUGUUACAAAAAUUAAAAGAUAAUAAAAAUAAAUGAAAGAAUAAAAUAUUAUUCUCUUCAAUCAUA
Molecule: long non-coding RNA, 456 nt
Organism: Tupaia belangeri chinensis (Chinese tree shrew)
Lineage: Eukaryota; Metazoa; Chordata; Mammalia; Scandentia; Tupaiidae
Exons: 4
Source: RefSeq, a predicted model, not a curated record